This 1169-nucleotide unclassified non-coding RNA is filed under the name Aschersonia sp. DK-2017. RNAcentral's name for it is "sequence contains ITS1 and ITS2". It matches the Rfam family "Eukaryotic large subunit ribosomal RNA", at positions 35 to 671 of the family's 3401-position model. Lineage: Eukaryota; Fungi; Ascomycota; Sordariomycetes; Hypocreales; Clavicipitaceae. The record is from RNAcentral.
UUGGCAUAUCCAAAAAGCGGAGGAAAAGAAACCAACAGGGAUUGCCCUAGUAACGGCGAGUGAAGCGGCAAGAGCUCAAAUUUGAAAGCUGGCUCCUUCGGGGUCCGCAUUGUAAUUUGCAGAGGAUGCUUCGGGAGUGGCCCCUGUCUAAGUGCCCUGGAACGGGCCGUCAUAGAGGGUGAAAAUCCCGUAUGGGAUGGGGUGCCCACGCCCGUGUGAAGCUCCUUCGACGAGUCGAGUUGUUUGGGAAUGCAGCUCUAAAUGGGUGGUAAAUUUCAUCUAAAGCUAAAUAUUGGCCGGAGACCGAUAGCGCACAAGUAGAGUGAUCGAAAGAUGAAAAGCACUUUGAAAAGAGAGUUAAAAAGCACGUGAAAUUGUUGAAAGGGAAGCGCUUGCGACCAGACUCGCCCUUGGGGUUCAGCCGGCUUUCGGGCCGGUGUACUUCCCCGGGGGCGGGCCAACGUCGGUUUGGGCGGCCGGUCAAAGGCCCUUGGAAUGUAACGCCUCUCGGGGCGUCUUAUAGCCAAGGGUGCCAUGCGGCCUGCCCGGACCGAGGAACGCGCUCGGCUCGGACGUGCUACCCCGGGCAUUGCCCUAGUACGGCGAGUGAAGCGGCAAGAGCUCAAAUUUGAAAGCUGGCUCCUUCGGGGUCCGCAUUGUAAUUUGCAGAGGAUGCUUCGGGAGUGGCCCCUGUCUAAGUGCCCUGGAACGGGCCGUCAUAGAGGGUGAAAAUCCCGUAUGGGAUGGGGUGCCCACGCCCGUGUGAAGCUCCUUCGACGAGUCGAGUUGUUUGGGAAUGCAGCUCUAAAUGGGUGGUAAAUUUCAUCUAAAGCUAAAUAUUGGCCGGAGACCGAUAGCGCACAAGUAGAGUGAUCGAAAGAUGAAAAGCACUUUGAAAAGAGAGUUAAAAAGCACGUGAAAUUGUUGAAAGGGAAGCGCUUGCGACCAGACUCGCCCUUGGGGUUCAGCCGGCUUUCGGGCCGGUGUACUUCCCCGGGGGCGGGCCAACGUCGGUUUGGGCGGCCGGUCAAAGGCCCUUGGAAUGUAACGCCUCUCGGGGCGUCUUAUAGCCAAGGGUGCCAUGCGGCCUGCCCGGACCGAGGAACGCGCUUCGGCUCGGACGUUGGCAUAAUGGUCGUAAGCGACCCGUCUUGAACAACGGACCCAAA